UUCAUGCCAUAUAUUCCCUCAU
This 22-nucleotide non-coding RNA is filed under the name Arabidopsis thaliana (thale cress). The record is from RNAcentral. Lineage: Eukaryota; Viridiplantae; Streptophyta; Magnoliopsida; Brassicales; Brassicaceae.